UUACGGCCAUAUCACGUUGAAAAACCAAUUCGCGUAAGAUCACCGAAGAUAAGCAUCUUCAUACCUGGUCAGUAACUAGAUGGGUAACCGUUUGGGAAUAUCGGGGGCCGUAA
This is a non-coding RNA of Acanthosepion pharaonis, 113 nucleotides long. NCBI's taxonomy places the organism in Eukaryota, Metazoa, Mollusca, Cephalopoda, Sepiida, Sepiidae. The record is from the annotation of a GenBank genome assembly.